UACAGAGGUCCCAAGCGUUGUUCGGAUUCACUGGGCGUAAAGGGUGCGUAGGUGGCCAGGUAAGUUCGGUGUGAAAGCUCGGAGCUUAACUCCGAAAUGGCAUUGAAUACUAUCUGGCUAGAGGGUCGGAGGGGAGACUGGGAAUUCUCGGUGUAGCAGUGAAAUGCGUAGAUAUCGAGAGGAACACCAGUGGCGAAGGCGAGUCUCUGGACGACACCUGACACUGAGGCACGAAAGCCAGGGGAGCAAACAGG
Molecule: ribosomal RNA, 254 nt
Filed under: uncultured bacterium
Lineage: Bacteria
Description: partial 16S ribosomal RNA
Rfam family: Bacterial small subunit ribosomal RNA
Source: RNAcentral